RNAcentral lists this ribosomal RNA (812 nucleotides) under uncultured bacterium. RNAcentral's name for it is "bacterial SSU rRNA". It matches the Rfam family "Bacterial small subunit ribosomal RNA", at positions 8 to 796 of the family's 1533-position model. The record is from RNAcentral.
AGAGUUUGAUCCUGGCUCAGAAUCAACGCUGGCGGCGUGCCUAACACAUGCAAGUCGAGCGCGAAAGGGGGGGCAACUCCCCGAGUAGAGCGGCGAACGGGUGAGUAACGCGUGGGUCAUCUACCUUCGAGUGGGGAAUAACAGCGGGAAACUGCUGCUAAUACCGCAUGACAUCGCCGGGCCUUGCGGCCUGGCGAUCAAAGCCGGGGACCGCAAGGCCUGGCGCUUGAAGAUGAGCCCGCGUCCGAUUAGCUAGUUGGCGGGGUAAUGGCCCACCAAGGCGACGAUCGGUAGCCGGCCUGAGAGGGCGGACGGCCACACUGGGACUGCGACACGGCCCAGACUCCUACGGGAGGCAGCAGUGGGGAAUUUUUCGCAAUGGGGGAAACCCUGACGAAGCAACGCCGCGUGGAGGAUGAAGGCCUUCGGGUCGUAAACUCCUGUCGACCGGGACGAACGUAGUCCGGCCCAAUACGCCGAGCUAUCGACUGUACCGGUAAAGGAAGCUCCGGCUAACUCUGUGCCAGCAGCCGCGGUAAUACAGAGGGAGCGAGCGUUGUUCGGAAUUACUGGGCGUAAAGGGCGCGUAGGCGGUCCGAUAAGUCCCGUGUGAAAUCCCUCGGCUCAACUGAGGAACGGCACGGGAAACUGACGGGCUUGAGUUCGGGAGAGGGAAGCGGAAUUCCGGGUGUAGCGGUGAAAUGCGUAGAUAUCCGGAGGAACACCGGUGGCGAAGGCGGCUUCCUGGACCGACACUGACGCUGAGGCGCGAAAGCUAGGGGAGCAAACGGGAUUAGAUACCCUAGUAGUCC